Molecule: ribosomal RNA, 388 nt
Filed under: uncultured bacterium
Lineage: Bacteria
Description: bacterial SSU rRNA
Rfam family: Bacterial small subunit ribosomal RNA
Source: RNAcentral
GACGAACGCUGGCGGCGUGCUUAACACAUGCAAGUCGAGCGGUAAGGCCCUUUCGGGGGUACACGAGCGGCGAACGGGUGAGUAACACGUGGGUGACCUGCCCUCAGCUCUGGGAUAAGCCUGGGAAACCGGGUCUAAUACUGGAUAUGACUCCAUGACGCAUGUUGUGGGGUGGAAAGCCUUGUGCGGCUGAGGAUGGGCCCGCGGCCUAUCAGCUUGUUGGUGGGGUGANGGCCUACCAAGGCGACGACGGGUAGCCGGCCUGAGAGGCGACCGGCCACACUGGGACUGAGACACGGCCCAGACUCCUACGGGAGGCAGCAGUGGGGAAUCUUGCGCAAUGGGCGAAAGCCUGACGCAGCGACGCCGCGUGAGGGAUGACGGCCUC